UACGAGAGGUGCAAGCGUUAUUCGGAAUCAUUGGGCGUAAAGGGCGCGUAGACGGUAUGUUAAGUCUGUUGUUAAAUCCUUCGGCUCAACUGAAGAUCUGCAACGGAAACUGGCGUACUAGAGGGUGAAAGAGAGAAGUGGAAUUCUUGGAGUAGCGGUAAAAUGCGUAGAUCUCAAGAGGGACACCAAUGGCGAAGGCAGCUUCUUGGUUCACACCUGACGUUGAGGCGCGAAAGCGUGGGGAGCAAACAGG
Molecule: ribosomal RNA, 253 nt
Filed under: uncultured bacterium
Lineage: Bacteria
Description: partial 16S ribosomal RNA
Rfam family: Bacterial small subunit ribosomal RNA
Source: RNAcentral